Long non-coding RNA from Rhineura floridana, 1641 nucleotides. RefSeq lists it as uncharacterized. The record is from RefSeq and is a predicted model, not a curated record. Lineage: Eukaryota; Metazoa; Chordata; Lepidosauria; Squamata; Rhineuridae. The transcript has 3 exons.
ACUACUUCCGCCUUCUUCGCGGCGUCGCCUCCGGUACUGACGUCACCAGCCAAGCCUUAAAGACCCACAGCAGAAAACACCGGUUAAACUGUGGUGGUGGUAGGGUUGAGGGAGAAAAACCUGGGGUUAAGCGGAAAUGACUCACAGAAGGAACAAAAGGCAAAGAAAGAUGACGAGAGGACCCACCAAUCAGGAAAGGGAGUUAUAAAAACAACGUCCGGGUUAAAUGGAAACUGGAGAGGUGCUGAAAGACACCCGUUGCUGUUUCUGCUGCAACAGCUACCCCUUGAGAAGCUUUGAACACAUACUCAACAGUUCCUGGUAGCACCUGGCCAUCUUCUUGCAGGCAGGAAGAAUUAGUAAAACAAUCAUGAACUAAUGCCAACAAUGGUGGCUUCUCAGAACUGGGGAAAGCACUCUGGUUUUCUGCAUCCACACCCCUCCUCCAACACAUUCAAUGAUGUCUUACAGAGCUGUGAGAGAAAGGAUUGGUCCUCUGGGAUUUCCAUGUGGAACAAGCUAAACCAGCCUUCAACGACACCAUGAAUAAAACCACACAUGGCAAACCAGCAGAUAGCCAAGGAACGCCAGAUUCCAAGAGGGGCAGCUGUACUGCUCGGUGAUCUUGCUGCUAGCCAAGUCACUAUCAAGGGGACCCCUGAGACCGAGAAGAAGAAAGCCAAGAUCUGCCACACAGGGUAGUCAUUUGGGACGUAAUGUUGGAGCUCCAAGUUUCGAGGCCAGUAAGGGUGAGGAAGGGGGUUCACUUCUAGCUUCAUGGCACUUGAGAAGGAGAAGUAAAUCAAGUUACUGAAACUGGUGAAUGCCGUUUCUCCUGGAAGAAAAAAACAGUGUCGGUAAUGAGGAAAGUAUUAACUGUCUAGAAGGCACAAGCAUAAUGAAUACAGAUUCCAGGCUAAGAAUGACCAUUGUCAGGAUAUGGGAAAUCCUUGAACCAUUACUCAGAAGUACACAGGAGAAAGUAAUGUGGGGGCUGUUGAUAAAUCUAGAACUGUAACCCAUAUCAAAAGAUUAACAAAAAAAAGACUAUAUAUACAAAUUUAUUAUCAACUACACAGCAAAUUUAAAUAUAGAUUCCCUUUGUUUAGUAGUCCAGAAUAUCUUUCCCUUCAGAACUUGCUGUUUCUUAUCCUCCAUUAGAUGAGAUGACUCCAAAACUAGUGGGUCACAUAAAAAUGUAAAUGUACAGCCUUCAAGUCGAUUCUGACUUAUGGCAACCCUAUGAAUAGUGUUUUCAUUCCACCCAGUGAGCUUCAUGGCUGUGUGGGGAUUUGAACCCUGGUCUCCCAGGUCGUAGUCCAACACCUUAACCACUACACCACACUGGCUCUCUAGUAGAUCACAUAGAAGAAGCAUAAAACAGCCUCCAGGCUUCUCCACGCUGCCUUCAUAUCAUGCAACAGCCGGGUUAUCACAAUAUUUGGGGGGGAACCUUUGGCCCACAGGUCAACCUUGGCCCACCAGGGGGCCCAAUAAAGCCCACAAAGCUGUUUUCCCCACCCUACACCCUUGUCCCACAUCUGAUGUCAGGUGUGAGGUGGCUUCAAAGGAACAGGAGAUUUUUAACAGCAGUUCAAUGCAAACCGCUUCCACCUCCUACAGUAAGGUUCAAAGAGCAUU